AGAAUUCUGGAGGCUGGAAAGUCCAAGAUCAUGGUGCUGGAAGAUUCAGUGUCUGUUAUGGUGGCUGGGAAGUCCAAGGUCAAGACACCAGUAGAUUCGGAAUCUGAAAAAGAAGCUAUAUCUGGAAGCUUCACUUCUAGUAUCGGAAGACCUAUACAUCAUUCAGUAUGGAAGCCAAGAGGGGUGUAAUUUCAGCUUCUGAAGGCACUUUCAAAAAACCAUAUGAAAGAUGCUGUAUUUGAAGCCCAACUAUAUUAAGCCUUGGUUGGAGACCUUUUAUGAUCCUCAGAAGACUUAUAAAGGAGUUUAGCAAAGAGCAAAUGAGAGUGUGAAUAGAGCAAAGGUUUUCCCCCUACAGAUAUAUUAUCAGUCUUUGGAUGAAGCGGGGAAUCCCUUGAAAUAAUAGUCAAGAUUUUUUUUUUCUCCCAUGUGCAUACAGAAAGAAGCCAUCAUAUUCUCAAAAGGAUCUCUACACAAAACAAAAGAAAAGAUGGUCUGUUAAUAAUGAAAAUAGUCAGAUGGUUUCCGAGAGGCAGAAUCCAGGAAGGGGAAUUGCUCGUUCACAGUAAAAAUAUUUGUUUUACUAAACUGGUGUUACCUCUUACCCUUGCUUCCAAUGCCACUGGAUCCCUCCUCUACCCCCCACCCCAAAUGGUCUGUACUGACUUCUACUCACAAAUAAAUAGAGUCCUACCAGUGCACUUUAGAUGGAAAGAGAUAAAAAAAGAAAAAUUAAGGUAAAUUUCUCUCUAUGUCUAUGGGAAGGAGAUUAACAGCUUUUUUCAAAUACAGAAUUUUAAGAUUAGGCAGAAUCCUUUAAUAAGUGAGGUAAUUAGAUGAUCAACUGCUCAUUUGCUCUCAGAUUCAUCUUCUCUCUUCACCUGCUCUGCAUUUCAGGAAACUAUCUUCCAGACUCUCUUGUUUUCUGCAAAGUGAGGCCCCAAUGGAAGAGCGGACGUUAAGAAAGGGAAGUCAAACAUCCCAGAAAGGGCUGGCCUCCUCCACUGAGCCAGCGUCUACUGGGCGGUUCUCUCUAUGGUC
Long non-coding RNA from Rhinolophus ferrumequinum (greater horseshoe bat), 1041 nucleotides. RefSeq lists it as uncharacterized. The transcript has 4 exons. Lineage: Eukaryota; Metazoa; Chordata; Mammalia; Chiroptera; Rhinolophidae. The record is from RefSeq and is a predicted model, not a curated record.